Molecule: ribosomal RNA, 330 nt
Filed under: uncultured eukaryote
Lineage: Eukaryota
Description: partial 18S ribosomal RNA
Rfam family: Eukaryotic small subunit ribosomal RNA
Source: RNAcentral
CCCUUAGAUGUUCUGGGCCGCACGCGCGCUACACUGAUGAAUUCAACGAGCUCCUGACCUAGGCCGAAGGGUCCGGGUAAUCUUUGAAAUUUCAUCGUGAUGGGGAUAGAUUAUUGCAAUUAUUAAUCUUCAACGAGGAAUUCCUAGUAAGCGCGAGUCAUCAGCUCGCGUUGAUUACGUCCCUGCCCUUUGUACACACCGCCCGUCGCUCCUACCGAUUGAAUGGUCCGGUGAAAUGUUCGGACCGCGACAAGGCGGACGGUUCGCUGUCAGCUUUGCUGCGGGAAGUUCAUUAAACCUUAUCAUUUAGAGGAAGGAGAAGUCGUAACA